Molecule: RNA transcript, 3343 nt
Organism: Trichoplusia ni (cabbage looper)
Lineage: Eukaryota; Metazoa; Arthropoda; Insecta; Lepidoptera; Noctuidae
Gene: Ctl1
Gene name: CTL-like protein 1
Exons: 12
Source: RefSeq, a predicted model, not a curated record
UAUCUCUUAUCCGUCUUGGAAGAUGUCAUACAAAACACGAUUGUCAGAUGCGUUCUUUGUAAACACACACGAACAAGCAGGUUACACUUACACCGUUACACCCAAGCUUACAUACACAGACAGAGCAGACGCUUUCAAUUUUCGAUAAAAAUAAAAAUAAAUAUUGUGAACGCCCGGAAUCAAGCCAAGAGUUAAAUAAACGUAGUCUCAUUUUUCUGAAAAAGAAAAUGUGGUCGUGACUAAACUGAAAAUUGGUUUUAUUAAGUUUAAUAAAUCCCAAACAUAAAAAUGGGUUGCGCGCAAAGUGAAAUAUCUCCUCAAAAUGAACCAGCUCCUAGAAAAGGAUGUACCGAUGUGCUGUGGCUCAUUAUUUACAUAUUAUUUUGGAUAUUAAUGAUAAUAGUUGCUGCUAUAUCAUUUGUGUAUGGAAAUCCACUACGAGUUAUAAAUGGGUUUGAUUCAUUUGGCAAUACCUGUGGAGUUAAACACAAUCACAAGCUAACACCAGCUCCAGUUUCAGGCAUCAGCACUGUUGAUAAGAGAUAUCUUUUCUUUAUGGAUAUCAAAGAACUACAAAGGUCUCUUAAAAUUUGCGUCAAAGAAUGCCCUAACAAGAAGUUAAAUUCAUUGAUUGACAUUCAAAACUUUUAUAAAGAAACUGGGUCAAACCUCUGCCGUUAUGAUGUCAACCUGAACAAAGUAACAACUAACAAGGACUAUGAACACAGCUAUGUAGGUCCUUGUCCUACACUACCAGUUUAUGAGACUUUCCCUCUACUGAAUAGAUGCUUCCCCAAGUCAGCUCAUGAACUUACAAAAAAAGUAUUCACUGACUUCUAUGAUUUACUCAAUAGUUGGGACACUAUUGAGCAGAUGCUUUCUGAUCUCUAUUCCUCAUGGAAGGAAAUGAUUAUAUGUGUCAUAGUGGCCUUCAUAUGUUCCCUUAUCAUGGUGUCCAUCCUUCAUUUACUAGCUACUUUGGUAUCAUGGAUAUUUAUGAUACUAGUGUCGAUAGCUAGUAUAGCAGGAACUGCAUUACUAUGGUACACAUACCAUGAACUGAGGACAAAACACAAGUCUUUUGAAACUGCAUAUUUAUCUGAAUCUCUAAAGAACGAAAGCGCCUUUUUGUGGUAUUCAAUAAUAGCUACUAUUAUUACUGUGAUAUUAUUGUUGUUGGUGUUUGUGAUGCGUUCCCGCGUGUCUUUCUUGGCGGCCUUAUUCAAAGAAACUGCUCAUUGUCUUGGUUCCAUUCCGGCCUUAUUUUUACAACCUAUAAUAACAUUUUUCUUCCUUGUACUAUUUUUAGCAUUUUGGUCGAUAGUUGUGGUAUGUUUGGCAACGGCUAACUACCCUGGUAUACCAUUUCAAACUAAUUUCCUACUAAAUGGAACUUCGGCAUCGGAACUGAGUCAAAGUAAUAAAAUAGCUAUCGACGCACAAAACAAUAGCUUGAAAACAUUCACUUUGGAAAACAUUGAGUUUGACCCCAUGUGGGUUAAGAGUAUGUGGUGGAUAUGUCUGAUUUGCUUAGUUUGGGGUAGCGAGUUCAUACUCGGAUGUCAACAGAUGACAAUCGCUGGAGCGGUAUCGCUUUGGUAUUUUAGGGGUCCGAAUGCUCAUCCAUCGCCUGUUUUGUAUUCGAUCGGAAAACUUAUAAAGUAUCACUUGGGUUCAGUGGCAAAAGGAUCAUUUUUGAUAACCCUCUUCAAGAUACCUCGUCUCAUCUUGACCUAUUUACACGCUAAGUUGUCGUCUCGAGCAGAAAAAGGUUCAGAGUGCGCAAAAUGUGGCCUUAAAUGUGGUAUAUGUUGCUUCUACUGUCUCGAGAAGUUUAUCCGGUACUUGAAUCAUAAUGCCUAUACGAUAAUUACUAUUGAGAGAUGCCACUUUUGCAAGGCGGCUGCUAAGGCAUUCAGCACCAUAGUAAACAAUGCUCUCCAAGUGGCCACGAUAAACAGUGUGGGUGACUUCAUCCUGUUCCUGGGUAAAUGUAUAGUGACAGCGGUCACGGGUAUCGUCGGUCUACUGCUUCUUAAGCGCAAUACUGAACUGCACUUCUUUGCUGUACCGACGCUUGUGAUUUGUGUCUUCUCGUUCUUUAUUGCACACUGCAUACUUUCUCUUUAUGAGAUGGUGGUUGACUCCCUGUUCCUCUGCGUUUGUGAAGACCGCAACAUGAACGGCGCUGACGGUAGAUGGAAGAACUCGAGACUUGCGGAACUCGGCGGCCAUAAACAACAGAAGCUCGAUGACGUAGACGGCACGGAACUUCAGGACGUGCCAGACAAGUAUUGAAGACAGACUGUAGAGCUUGUGGGCUUGUGCAUGUCCGUCCAGUGCCUUAUUAUGGAUAGCGGCUGCUAAUGUAAAAUUGGCAGCAUUUAAUUUAAGAAGAAUUUUAAGACGCUUUUAAUCAGUAAUGCAUUUUAUAAUUUAUUAUUAAUGUAAGCACAACUACACCGUCUUAUUUGAAUUGGGCUGAUAUUGAGAAGUGAACCUAUGGAGUAGUGUCUAUAGUUCAAUUGUUGAGGGAAGAAGCAUGGUAAAUUAAGCUGCAAAUCUCAGAAGUUUGAAGGUCCUUCAAGAACAAAAUUUUACUAAAUAUAACAUUUAUGUUGCAUGUGGCAAUCAAAAAAAGUCUUAGAGAGAUAUUUUUACAAAUCAGUAUUUAUUCGAAGCAAUUCUCAAAUCUUUAUAAGAUUUAAAGAAUGUAUUAUUCUGUCUCAAUAUCCUUUUAGUGUUUAGAUUGUUUUUACACCUUUAAUUUGAUGUUGGUGCAAUUUUAUAGCUAUAAGAAUCAUGGUUUUCCGAGUUUUGACGUAAAUGAAUAUUUUGUGAAUCUCGAUAGUACGUAUUCUUUAUAGAUGUUUACACAUUUUGAUAAAAUAGUGAUGUACGUUAUUUAUGUUGCACGAUUUUUUAUCCGCAUGCUUAUAUUGUUAAUGAUAAUUAUUUUUAUGCGUAUUGUGUGUCUUUGUGAACAUGUAAUUUUGAGAUUGUUUAGAAUUAGUACAAUUUAGGGGGCCACUGUCCCCUCUUACUGUAGGUGAGUUGUAGUUAUGAAAACAAGUCUGCGCAUGGCGGUGCAGAAUGGUGGCUACAAUCUAUAGUGAGAACUGAUGGUAGGCUCUAAUCCGUGCUCCGUAAACGAGAGAAUCUCACAGUACAUGUAAUAAUCUCGUUUAAAACUUUUAUCAUCGUCAUUUAACAAACUUUAUUUUAAUAAUAAGAUAAUAAGACAAGUAUUACUUAUACUUUAAGCCUAUUUUGAGGUAAUUUUUGAUAUUCAAUUUUUUUGGUUUUAGGAACCCUAGCUAAGACUAUUGUCUUUUUUAUUUAU